GGAGGGGUGUCCGAGAGGCUGAAGGAACGCGACUGGAAAUCGCGUAUACGGGAAACCGUAUCAGGGGUUCGAAUCCCCUCCCCUCCG
RNAcentral lists this transfer RNA (87 nucleotides) under Phycisphaerae bacterium. RNAcentral's name for it is "tRNA-Ser". It matches the Rfam family "tRNA". Rfam says of the family: Transfer RNA (tRNA) molecules are approximately 80 nucleotides in length. Lineage: Bacteria; Pseudomonadati; Planctomycetota; Phycisphaerae. The record is from RNAcentral.